UGGGGAAUUUUGGACAAUGGGCGAAAGCCUGAUCCAGCAAUGCCGCGUGUGUGAAGAAGGCCUUCGGGUUGUAAAGCACUUUUGUCCGGAAAGAAAUGGCUCUGGUUAAUACCUGGGGUCGAUGACGGUACCGGAAGAAUAAGGACCGGCUAACUACGUGCCAGCAGCCGCGGUAAUACGUAGGGUCCAAGCGUUAAUCGGAAUUACUGGGCGUAAAGCGUGCGCAGGCGGUUGUGCAAGACCGAUGUGAAAUCCCCGAGCUUAACUUGGGAAUUGCAUUGGUGACUGCACGGCUAGAGUGUGUCAGAGGGGGGUUAGAAUUCCACGUGUAGCAGUGAAAUGCGUAGAGAUGUGGAGGAAUACCGAUGGCGAAGGCAGCCCCCUGGGAUAACACUGACGCUCAUGCACGAAAGCGUGGGGAGCAAACAGGAUUAGAUACCCUGGUAGUCCACGCCCUAAACGAUGUCAACUAGUUGUUGGGGAUUCAUUUCCUUAGUAACGUAGCUAACGCGUGAAGUUGACCGCCUGGGGAGUACGGUCGCAAGAUU
RNAcentral lists this ribosomal RNA (548 nucleotides) under uncultured bacterium. Its description in RNAcentral is "partial 16S ribosomal RNA". It matches the Rfam family "Bacterial small subunit ribosomal RNA", at positions 355 to 895 of the family's 1533-position model. The record is from RNAcentral.